This 371-nucleotide unclassified non-coding RNA is filed under the name soil metagenome. Its description in RNAcentral is "partial contains 5.8S ribosomal RNA, internal transcribed spacer 2, and large subunit ribosomal RNA". The stretch from base 1 to 120 matches the Rfam family "5.8S ribosomal RNA", at positions 35 to 154 of the family's 154-position model. The record is from RNAcentral.
GAUGAAGAACGUAGCGAAAUGCGAUAAGUAAUGUGAAUUGCAGAAUUCAGUGAAUCAUCGAAUCUUUGAACGCACAUUGCGCCCCCUGGAAUUCCGGGGGGCAUGCCUGUUCGAGCGUCUCAGGGACGAACCCUCGCGCGGGUGUACGCGCGGUCGUGGCUGCGGUGGCGUGCCCGAGGCGGCGGCCACCGCGCUGGAAUCCAUGGGCGGACGCCUGCCGCGUGGCCGAGCGUGAUAUGACGCAUUGGCGCUCGAACGCGGCGAGGCUGCCAGCCCUGGCCCGUCUGUCGGGCGGGGGAGAGCAAGACACGUGAACUCCUCGAAUCAGGUAGGGAUACCCGCUGAACUUAAGCAUAUCAAUAAGCGGAGGA